Melospiza melodia melodia is the source of this 974-nucleotide long non-coding RNA. RefSeq lists it as uncharacterized. The transcript is spliced from 2 exons. The record is from RefSeq and is a predicted model, not a curated record. Lineage: Eukaryota; Metazoa; Chordata; Aves; Passeriformes; Passerellidae.
CAGCAGUUUGAUCAGCUCAUGAAGCAUAAUGGAGAUGGAAGGGAUGCCCAUUCCAUGCUGUUGGAAGGAGAGAAAAGAGAAACAUCAGUCCACGAGGCUGCAGCAGGUGACAGGUUCUUCGAGUUAGUAGAGCUGGUGUUCAUCCCUGGGGACCCUGUGUGGGCACACAGAUGGUGCCCGAUCUUCAAGGAGGGUCCACAAAUACAUCCCAACAUCUGAAUGCUCCCAGACCUUCCCCAUGCAUUGCCUGUCCUUACACCAUGUGCUGACUCGCACUUUGUUGUGUCCUGCUUGUGCUCUGGGAGUGGUGAACUACAUCAAGAACAACCUGAGCCUUCACUUCUCCAUGUGCCUUCCAGCCUGUCCUCACCCCACACUGGAGCAUCUCUGCAACAUUGCUGGGCACAAUGGACAAUGGAAGGGUUUGUGUCCCUUGCUGAGGAGAGGGUCAGGUGUUUGCUGCGUGCCUUGCAGGCUGCCUGUCCCUCUGCCCUGCUGCCCUUGUGUCCCCAGCCCCUGCCUGGCUACCAGCUCCCCACUGCUGGCCCCGGCUGGUUCCCCUGCUCCAUGGACAGUGCUGCCCCACUCCCAUCUCUGCUGCUGCUCCCAGGGCAGGCAGAAGUUCUGCAGGCCUGGAGCUGCUGGGGCUUCUGCUGCAUUGGCCCGGUGCUUGUUGCUAGGUCAUCUGUCUUCUGCUCCAUUGCUAGACCAACAUCCUUUUCUUAGCUUUACUUUUAAGUACAAAAAGUGUUUGGUGCUGUGGAGUUUGGUUUUUCCUCUUGAAAGUGCCUCACAUUUUUUUGGUUUUGCUAUCAUCUUCAAAAACCUGAAGGAAGCAUGUAUGGAAGCACCAUUGAUUAAGGUACACAGCCUGUUUUUGUGUUGCUUUGUCUCCUUUCUCUUUGAGCUGUGAGAGCAAUGCUCUGUUUGCCUAGUAUCAUGUUUUAAAUAUGAAAUCUUUUUUCAUGUUGUUA